AUGGAUGUUCGCUGCAAGAACCUAGUGAACCCUAUAUGCGACUGGCUCGGUGAGAUUUAUGAUCCUGCCUCCAGAGAAUUCGUGAUUCCGGGAUGGGGAAGACUGCCUUUGGAUGAGGAAUCUGUGUUCUGCACUUUGGGUGUGCCCCGUGGAGAAAUCAAAGUCUCGUACGAGGUGAAUAAUAAGAUUGAGGAAGCCUUGUUCCCCCGUUUGUUUCCUGGGGUGUCAACCAUGCCGAAUACGACUGUGCUGGCAACUUCGCUGGAGGGCAUGAAAACCCAUGGCGAACUCAUGUACGUCGAUGCUCUUGAUCUGUCCACCGUUGACUUUACUGGGAUAGGAGGCCUGCCGCCUGCACAUAAGUUUGUUGUCUCUAUGUGGACGGACGGUGUUGUCAAGGCUGUGCUUGCCGCAGACAGGAUAACCGAUACGAAAUAUGGGAAACUGCAGCUGAUGGCCAAGAAUGCUAUAGACUACAGUGUGUUUGGUGGGCCAUAA
Molecule: ribosomal RNA, 498 nt
Filed under: Triticum aestivum (bread wheat)
Lineage: Eukaryota; Viridiplantae; Streptophyta; Magnoliopsida; Poales; Poaceae
Description: partial small subunit ribosomal RNA
Source: RNAcentral